This is a non-coding RNA of Biomphalaria pfeifferi, 434 nucleotides long. The record is from the annotation of a GenBank genome assembly. Lineage: Eukaryota; Metazoa; Mollusca; Gastropoda; Planorbidae.
UCAUCUAUUAGUAAAAAUACCUUUUUAUUGUCAACAUGACAUUAAAAAAUCACAAAUAGUAAUUUAGACUACAGUUUUUAUAGAAUCGCUGUUAAAUAAAAAGAAACAAACUUGAAAUAUUAUUCAGCAUUAGGUAAGUGUAAGAAAGACAAAUACAAUUGAGUAACAAAUAAACAUAAAAAGUGUUUGCUCUGCCAUUUGAAUCCAUUCUGUGGUCAGAAAGCAGUAAAUCUAUUCCUUUUAUAUAGUCAAGUGAUUCACAAGACUUCACUAAUGUAAGUUGGCAGGUGCAAUGGGUUAAAUAAAACAUUUUGAGUUGAUUUUUUUCUGUAUUCGUGGUAAAAAAAAACAACAACCUGAUAGUUCAAGAGUCAAGGCUUGCAAGUAUGGGGUAACAGCACAGAGAUAAAUAAUCAAAAGUAGAUAAUGUCAGA